Molecule: ribosomal RNA, 285 nt
Filed under: uncultured bacterium
Lineage: Bacteria
Description: partial 16S ribosomal RNA
Rfam family: Bacterial small subunit ribosomal RNA
Source: RNAcentral
UCGAACGAGCGAGAGAGAGCUUGCUUUCUCGAGCGAGUGGCGAACGGGUGAGUAACGCGUGGGUGACCUACCUUUUCGUUGGGGAUAACAGUUGGAAACGAUUGCUAAUACCGAAUAAAAUGUAAGAGUCAAUUUUACAUUGAAAGGAGCCUUUAAAGCUUUGCGAUUAGAUGGGCCUGCGGCGUAUUAACUAGUUGGUGAGGUAAUGGCUUACCAAGGUGACGAUGCGUAGCCGAACUGAGAGGUUGAUCGGCCACAUUGGGACUGAGACACGGCCCAAACUCC